GAUCAUGAUUGCUGUCACAUCCGUUUGGACAAAAUUCCGACGAGGUCUGCCUAUUUACUCUUGGCCCCUCCUCGCCGCCACAAUGAUUUUCGUUGAUUGGAAUCACACUCGAGAAUGGAAAGCAGCUGGAAGAGUUU
This is a small nucleolar RNA of Caenorhabditis elegans, 137 nucleotides long. NCBI's taxonomy places the organism in Eukaryota, Metazoa, Nematoda, Chromadorea, Rhabditida, Rhabditidae. The record is from Ensembl.